CCUACGGGUGGCAGCAGUGAGGAAUAUUGGUCAAUGGGCGCGAGCCUGAACCAGCCAAGUCGCGUGAGGGAAGACGGUCCUAUGGAUUGUAAACCUCUUUUGUCGGGGAGCAAAAGACGCCACGCGUGGCGUUCCGAGAGUACCCGAAGAAAAAGCAUCGUCUAACUCCGUGCCAGCAGCCGCGGUAAUACGGAGGAUGCGAGCGUUAUCGGGAUUUAUUGGGUUGAAAGGGUGCGCAGGCGGAAGAUCAAGUCAGCGGUAAAAUUGAGAGGCUCAACCUCUUCGAGCCGUUGAAACUGGUUGUCUUGAGUGAGUGAGAAGUAUGCGGAAUGCGUGGUGUAGCGGUGAAAUGCAUAGAUAUCACGCAGAACUCCGAUUGCGAAGGCAGCAUACCGGCGCUCAACUGACGCUCAUGCACGAAAGUGUGGGUAUCGAACAGGAUUAGAUACCCUAGUAGUC
RNAcentral lists this ribosomal RNA (459 nucleotides) under uncultured bacterium. RNAcentral's name for it is "partial 16S ribosomal RNA". It matches the Rfam family "Bacterial small subunit ribosomal RNA", at positions 338 to 795 of the family's 1533-position model. The record is from RNAcentral.